RNAcentral lists this long non-coding RNA (637 nucleotides) under Bos indicus x Bos taurus (hybrid cattle). Its description in RNAcentral is "lncRNA (ENSBIXG00005015339.1)". The record is from RNAcentral. Lineage: Eukaryota; Metazoa; Chordata; Mammalia; Artiodactyla; Bovidae.
AUGGAUUUAAAUGUAAGCAGGUCUAAAAAGAAAGCAGAGUUUCCUUUUAGAAGCUUAAGAAAACAAUUAGAAAUAAAAGGAGGCCAGAAAGCACAGUUAAUGAAGGGGCCCGAGAAGCAAAGGCGAUGGGGAAAUUCACCCGCUUCACGAACACUUUUGCAAGGGCGAGACGGAGGGACCGCACCCAGAGCUCUUCUGACCUUGCCCUUGACUCACUGGGCUCUCACAGCUCACAUCCGCCCUCCGGGUGAGCUUAAAGUCGCCGCUCCAUGGAAAUGUUUGUUCUGCCUCUGGAGCAGAAGACACCGCUUCUGGUGGCCCUGGUGGCCCUGUCUCUGGGGCUCUGAGGUCCUGCCAGGCCAGGAGGAGGCUCUCUUCUUGUCUCACGAGCAGGAUUCGUCCAUGUGUUUGUGGCUGUGGCUUUCAUGGCUGUGCCAAGCGUGGCCUCCAGAGGCUGGCAGACACCCUGGUGUCCUGGCCAGCUCCAUGUUGUUGGGCAACGUGUAGCCUCUAAAGCCUUAUACGAGUCCUCCACGCAUUACCCAUCGCCCAGAUCUUGGCUCCUGGCUUCCCAAGGCCAACCCUGUCUUCUGAUUGCUCUGCUCUUGGAUCCUGGCAUCUAGUUAUGUCAACAAAG